Molecule: non-coding RNA, 3380 nt
Organism: Chiloscyllium plagiosum (whitespotted bambooshark)
Lineage: Eukaryota; Metazoa; Chordata; Chondrichthyes; Orectolobiformes; Hemiscylliidae
Source: RefSeq, a predicted model, not a curated record
CCAGGGGCCAAUCCGCUGCCUCCGGACUUAACCCAAGCAGCGCUUUGGGUCAUUUGUCACCCAAGUCAGACCCAAGUCGGGCGAACCAGAUUGGCCAUGAAUUGUCCCAGGCUGUACUACGAGACCAGGAGUCGAGGAGAAAUUGCACCCGAGCUCUGACCGCGAUGUAACUGCUGUGAGACUCAUAAAUCGUCAACCAACUAAACCAUGACUGGAAAGUUUAUAGAGAGGGCGAUUCCAACGCCGUUAAGAAUCUCAGGCAGCCCAUCCAACUGGGGAUUUGAAUUGUCUUUAUAAAGUGUUGCCCAUGCAAUCAAACAGCUGCCUGUGGUAUUUAUAGGAUAAAGGACAGCGAGGGUCCUUGACAACUUUGAAUUUACUCGUUCAUAGCGAAAGUGAACCUGUUUUUAAAUUGAAUGUGCACACUGGGUGCAAGACAUGUUCAUUUAAUUAUUUAGUUGCAGGACAUGUAUCUAAUGGGCUCAUCAUUUGGGCCGUUUACAGAGUGAAAUACUAAGUUUUGGUGAUUAUGGACUUUAAUGGGAUGUUGACGUUGUCGAAGCUGGAAUUCACAAAAGGGGAAAAUGGGACUCCGAUCAUUCAGUUCCUCAACAGCAGCAAAUUUAACAUUGAAACCAAGAAGUGACCUCAAAAGCUGGACGGGAGUAGAUGGCGGCACUGGUGUCUAUUGAGCCCAUUGCACUUUGCCAUUCAUUACAAUCAGGAUUGAUGUCCUUUUGGAAAGUUGGGUGUUGGGCAACACUGCUGCUCCUGUUCCCAGAUUCGGGCUGCCUGUUAUUAAUAGGCACGAUCCAGGUUGCCAUGAGAUACCGUGACUUGACAUCAAGACUUUACUAUAGUGGGUCAGGAAAACCGCUUCUACCUAUCCUCAGCAAAGUUACAGAACUACCACCUCAAUGGAAUGGACUGGUCACAUUUCCCAGGGGAGGGUGUUAUUAGACCCUGACGCACUUCACUGAGGACAGAGCAAUUUAAAAUACAUUGCGGCGUCAGUGAAGAUUGAGGAGAUGGUGGGAAAGUAAAUCGCCAGAGAUCCUUCCCUCUAUCAGCUGUGAAACUCAGCCACUUCAGGAUCAUUAAAUCUGAUCUAAACUCUCUUUAAUUACUAUCGAUUUUCUCCCACUGUUUACACGUCAGACGGACUCCCCUGAGAUGUAUUGACCGCUGUUAAAUUCUGCCCUUCAAAUAUUUGAAUAAAUCCCCUCCCCUUUCUCCCAGGACCUCAAGCUUCCUCAUCAUUUCUGUAAUGACCUCUUUAAUUUCUUACUGUAUGGCUAAUUAAAACUAAUUAAAAUUGAGCCCGUUAAGGCAGCAGUAACUUUACUACUCCACACAAUAAUAUGUUUGAGCUUGUGAACCAAACAAUCCACUCUUUUCACUGUUUGGCACCAGGUACACGCACGGGUCACAAGUGAUCUGACCUGACCUGCAGAUUUUAACCUGACAAGUGCAACCCAAAUGUUGAUACAAGACUGUUUGGUUAAUGAUAUGCCGAUCGGUUAUUCUGUACACAAAUAAAUCGUGCCUUCCGUGAUAAGAAAAAAAGUCACGUAUCCCGAGAAAAUUAUAAGGGAACCGCCUGCGGAUCACCAGGAUUGGUUUAUGCUAGUGGUCACGUUCUAACAUUAAGUAAAUUCGGUGAGUCUUUGUCGGCCGUUAAUCUCGUUCAUGUUCUAAACAUAAGUAAAGACAUGCAUUUUUUCAAAACCUUUGGACGUCUCAAAGUGUUUUGCAGCCAACUAAGUAGGAUUGAAUUGUAGUAAAUGUUGUAAUGCAAAAGAAAAGCCACAAAUCAAAUAUGAGACUGAACACUCCCCCAUCUGCCUGGAUGAGUGCUGUUUCAACAAUGCAGACGAAGCUGAUCGCUAUCAGGACGAAAUUAGCAUCCCAUCCACCACCUUAAAACAUUUGCUCUCUCCAUCCCUCCUCCACAAUUGUUCUACCGCAAUUUGUUUGAUAGAACCUUCCAAACUCAUGAUCACUACCACCUAGAAGAUCAAAACCACAAGAGUGUUACCUACAAGUUCUCUUUCAAGUCACACACUAUCCUAAAUUGGGAUGAUAUUGCUGUUCAACCACUGGAUGAAGUCGUGGAACUCCCUCUCUCAGCAUUACGGGUAUUCCUACAGGACAUGAAUGUCAGUGAUUCAGGAAGCCGGCUCAUCCUUCUGAAGGGCAAUUAGGGAACAGCAGUAACAGCAGGCCUAGCUAGUAAUGCUGACAUCCUGUGAAAGAAUAAGAAAAUAAAUAAACAGCAAACUCCAACAAACAGCAAAGUGAUAUCCAUCAAAUAAUUUGUUUCCUGUGUUGUUGACUUAGGUAUAAAAAUGUGACCAGGACAUGAGGGAUAACUCCGCUGCUGCUCUUCAAAAUAAUUCCAUGGAUUCUUUUACAUCCAAUGGAGCUAGCAGGUGGAUUCAAAGCUGAGCAGAGCAGCAAGGGACUCAGGGCAACCAGAAUUGUAUGUGGAACUCCAAAUGUGGCUGUAUCAAUGUCUUCUACAGCUGGAACAUGAUGUCCCAACUUCAGUACUCAAUAUGGAAAAACUUAAGAAAUAAUUUAAAGGACAAUUAACUGCAGAAUGGUAUUUCUAAUCAUAUCUAAAGAAGAUGGUGGCGGGAGCAGAAUAGGAAACAUUUGGGCUCCUGAACCUGUACACUCCUGUUUGCCUACAAACUUUUUUAAAAAAUUCUCUUUUGCAUCAAAAUUCACCCUUUUUCAGUGGCUACAGUGCGGGAAGGCGGUAGCAAGAGCCUGCUAGGGCAGCAGCAGCAUGAUGGAUCCGGAUGUCCAUUCCUCAUGGCCAUGGUGGCUGUGGCCUGAGGAAAGGCUCUAUCACUGGUGACUCAGCAGAACUCUGGUCCAUUCCUCCUGGCAGAAGGACAGUGGUUUCUGCAGAUACUACAGCAGUAGCAGCACGGUGGUCCCAGUUCAUUCCUCAUGGCUAUGGCAGCGAUGUGGUGGUUUCAGCAGCAACUGAAGUGGCAACGGCUUGAGUGAUGUCUUCAGUGCUGGCAACUUAUUAGGUCCGGUCUGUUCCUCCUGACGAUGAUGGCGAUUCAGUGGUGUUGGCUUCAGCGAUGGCAGCCUGGUAGGUCCAGCCUGGAAAUCAUCACUUUGGCAGCCUCAGGAUUGAAGGAAUCUGAGGAACAAGCGAGUCGACAUUUCGGGAAGAACCCUUCUUCAGGAGCAGCUUCGGCAGCAGUGUCCCAUAGCCACUUUAGAAACCCAGGAGCUGUGGAGGGAACAAAAGGUGAACUUUGUCUUAACUUUGUCUCAAUUAUUUAUUUUUAUAAUUUCUGUAAUUAAAAUGGUGCCGGAUUAUGGUGAUUUAUACACAUAUCAUUGGAUUAUCAUAG